AAGUCGUAACAAGGUAACCGUAGGUGAACCUGCGGUUGGAUCAUUAAUGAAUGAAACCAAAGGUUGUUCUGUCCUUUUCUCACUCGGAAAAGGCUGGGCAAUUCCUUUGACACCCCCCCCCUUGUGAAUUUUAAUUGUUUCUAGCUCGGUAAAGGAAACUGAACCGGGCUAUAUAACCAAAAAAAACAUACACCGUAAUUAUUUUUAUUAUCAAAGUCUCCGAGCGAUUCUUUUUAUUCGAGAAACGCGUUUUUUUUAUAAAGAAAAAACAACUUUUGACAACGGAUCUCUUGGCUCUG
RNAcentral lists this unclassified non-coding RNA (299 nucleotides) under fungal sp. RNAcentral describes it as "partial internal transcribed spacer region". The stretch from base 1 to 46 matches the Rfam family "Eukaryotic small subunit ribosomal RNA", at positions 1786 to 1831 of the family's 1831-position model. The record is from RNAcentral. Lineage: Eukaryota; Fungi.